Molecule: long non-coding RNA, 1283 nt
Filed under: Nicotiana tabacum (common tobacco)
Lineage: Eukaryota; Viridiplantae; Streptophyta; Magnoliopsida; Solanales; Solanaceae
Description: long non-coding RNA (NTAB_LNC012420)
Source: RNAcentral
UACUUGCUGAAGGAGUUGUAGGAUCUGGCUAAUAUUUUCUUGAGUAAGUGACUUGACCCCGCAGUCUGUACUGCAUUUUGUUCAGUGCUGAAAGCAUUGUUACCUUGAACUGACCCUUGGUAUUUUCUUUGAUUUGUGAACUUGAAAUCUGAGGGAAAUCCAACAAGCACGUAGCAUUAUUCCACAACAUGACCUGGCUUCUUGCAGUAUGAACAAGUAAAGUUGUUUUUCUUUUCCUCAUACCCAAUUUUUUCCCUUUAAAAUCCCUCACAUUGUUUCUCUUACCCAUUGUUACAUGUUGUGCAGCAAUAAAUGAAGUUGAUUCUCCAGGAUAAACAGGAGAAAUAUGUAUUUCUCUUUAACCAUAGAGUAAGCUUGGCCAAGAGAAGGUAAGGAGGAAGUCAAUAGUAUGUUGAUUCUCACACCUAUGUAGGUGUCAUUCAGGCCCAUUAAAAAUUGCAGCAGUCUCUGGUCUUGGUGCAUUUUCAGAUUUUUUCUUUUAGCUCCACAUACACAUUCACAUGAACAAGUAAAAAAAUUGGUCAAGGUAUCUAGUUCAUCCCACAAACUUAUUAUUUUUGUAAAAUAACUUGAUACACUAGAGUUACCUUGAACCACAUCACUUAGUUCUUUCUACAGUUGAAAACGUUUAGCCCCAUUUGUCUGACCAAAUCUGUCUUCUAAAUCAUUCUACAGAUCUUUUGUACUGUAUGAGUACAGAACACUUUCUGUAAUUUCUUUUGAUAGAGAGUUAAGGAGCCAAGACAACACCAUGUCAUUUCCUCUAGCCCAAGCACUUUGAAGACUAGAGUUUUCAUCUGGAAUGGAAAAAGUUCCAUCUAUGAAACCUAGUUUAUUCUUGGCAGAAAGAGCUAUGACUACUGCUCUACGCCAAGCUCCAUAGCUUUUGCCAUCAAAAGUUGAGGAAACAAGAUUCAUGCUUGGGUAGUCUAAAGGAUGAAGAAAGAAAGAGUGUGUUGAAUCAAUCACACCUUUCUUGGUUGAAUCAGUUGUUGCAGCUACAACUUCUGUUGUUUCUCCCAUUAUAAGGAAUAGAGCAAACUUGAAAAAUGAAUAAGGGUUUCAAAUAUUAGGUUGGUCGACCUGCUCUUGAUACCAUGUAAAAAAUCGAAAAUUUUGAACCCAAUAUGAAUUAGUGUGUAUUGUCUUGAAAAAGAAAUAUAUGUACAAUGUAGCUAAUUUAUUCAAUUUACUCUAUGUAUUACUCCCAUACCUGUCCCAUACCUGUCCAUGUAUAAUUUGUCCUAUUGUGAAUAAAAAAU